RNAcentral lists this ribosomal RNA (469 nucleotides) under uncultured bacterium. Its description in RNAcentral is "bacterial SSU rRNA". It matches the Rfam family "Bacterial small subunit ribosomal RNA", at positions 342 to 803 of the family's 1533-position model. The record is from RNAcentral.
CGGGAGGCAGCAGUAGGGAAUCUUCGGCAAUGGACGAAAGUCUGACCGAGCAACGCCGCGUGAGUGAAGAAGGUUUUCGGAUCGUAAAACUCUGUUGUUAGAGAAGAACAAGGAUGAGAGUAACUGUUCAUCCCUUGACGGUAUCUAACCAGAAAGCCACGGCUAACUACGUGCCAGCAGCCGCGGUAAUACGUAGGUGGCAAGCGUUGUCCGGAUUUAUUGGGCGUAAAGCGAGCGCAGGCGGUUUCUUAAGUCUGAUGUGAAAGCCCCCGGCUCAACCGGGGAGGGUCAUUGGAAACUGGGAGACUUGAGUGCAGAAGAGGAGAGUGGAAUUCCAUGUGUAGCGGUGAAAUGCGUAGAUAUAUGGAGGAACACCAGUGGCGAAGGCGGCUCUCUGGUCUGUAACUGACGCUGAGGCUCGAAAGCGUGGGGAGCAAACAGGAUUAGAUACCCUGGUAGUCCACGCCGC